AAUAUACCCAAUUUUAUGUGAACAAACAAUUAUGCACUCGAUCAAAAUUGAAUUAAAACAAAUAAAAUUAUAAGAUAACCCCAAAAAAAUCUAAUAUACCCUAGUCCACUCCCCUCCCAUAAUCCUCGUUUCUUUCUUUCUUUAUUUCCCUCUCUCUCUCUAGAUCGUCGUCGCUUCUUCCUCCAAAUCGGAAUUUAUGUCGUGUCUCC
This 209-nucleotide long non-coding RNA is filed under the name Salvia miltiorrhiza (redroot sage). RNAcentral's name for it is "long non-coding RNA (SMIL_LNC000850)". Lineage: Eukaryota; Viridiplantae; Streptophyta; Magnoliopsida; Lamiales; Lamiaceae. The record is from RNAcentral.